Molecule: long non-coding RNA, 1463 nt
Filed under: Phasianus colchicus (ring-necked pheasant)
Lineage: Eukaryota; Metazoa; Chordata; Aves; Galliformes; Phasianidae
Description: lncRNA (ENSPCLG00000021832.1)
Source: RNAcentral
AUGGAUUGCACUGUAGCUUGUAGAGAGGCAAUCUGCUGUACGUGGGAGAGGCAUGACAGAGGAAAAGCACAGCACCAGCUGCAUAUAAGAAACUCCUGGAAAGAAGAACAAAGCCAACUGUUCUCCAUGUCCACGAAGGCAUGCACAAGAACUAAUGGGUGUAUCCUGCAUCAAGAAAUAUUCAGGUUAGGAACAGCUUCUGAUGGAGAGGAGAACAAAGCAGGCAAACAGACUGCCAGGGGCCUGAGGAUUCUGCAUCACAGGGGAUCUUCAAGGAAAGAUAAACAGAAGAAAAGGCACCUGUAGGUUCCCCUAUCAUAGAACUGGAAGAUGGGCCAUCAACCUCUUGAGAUUCAUGCCAGCCUUACUCAUUUUCUAAACCCAGCUUUGUUCAUACCCUGAAACUCAUCUGUCUUCUUCAAAGCCCCACCAUAGUCUCCUUUAGCAUUUAUGUGCUAUCAACAUAUCACUUGCCAGGGUGAUUCUAGAAAAGUGACUGCGCUUGAGUCUUGGAUGGAUGCUUGCUUCCUACUGUGGUUCACCUAACCUCCAGGAGACUCAAUGCCUGCUUUGUGUUGUAAAUGGUGUCCCAUCUUGAGAUGCAUUGCCUGUGUUCCUGCCUUGGAUAGCAGUGUUGAUCUGUGGAAAUAUUCUUCCAUCUUUCUUGGAACCUCAUUCUUAUGCGUCUGCAGGCUUGUUCACAGGAGACUAGCUGAGGAGCAUGCUCACUGCUGUUUUCCCAGGUAAAUUCAGCCUUGCUUGUCUUCCUCACUAGUGGUGUUCCUUCAGCUCUCUUCUCAGGGAACAGGGUUCUCUUUGUACUGAUGCUGUGGGUUGGAGGAAUGCACAGAGUCUGUCCUCUUCCUUCUCUCUGGAAGGACAAACAGAGCUGCCUGACUUCUUGUCCAGGAGCCUUAGCACUCACCUACUUAUACUGGGAUGAUGACUUGGUGCUCCUUCCUGUGUUCUAAAACAUGCUGCUGCCUGGGUUGGUCCAAGGUAGAAGUAUGUUUCAUAGGGUGAGCAGGAGCCUGAGUGCAGUGGGCUUGAUACCUGGUUCCAGGGCCUUAACUGAACUAGGCAAGGAUCAGGCGAUUGUGUUGCUCAACAAAACUGCACAGCUGACAGUCUGAGCUGCUCUUUAGCAAUACAUCUAGCAGUCUGCAGCACUUUAGCUGGAGCUGGUAGGUGUCUUGUUCCUUGCAUUGCUCUCACGAACUUGCACGUGGAAAGAAAGCUGGAUCUUCCCCUUUUUACUGCCUCCUUAUCUGGCCAAAGGUUACCCAGUAGUCAGAACACAUGCCUUAACAUAUGCUGAAGAGAGCAAGCAGAGCCUGGAGGAUGUUGAUGGAUGACAAAAGCUCUGAUACAUACAUCUGUAUGACAUGUGGUGCUGUGCCUCAGGCUUUGGCCUGAGCAUUGCCGUUCCACCCUUGGUAAUAAACAUAUGAGUAGAUAAGGCA